CACACCAGUCCCCUGCGGGUCGCCUUGCGUGGGCAGGGGAAGGUGCCCUGGCCCCCCAGGAGUAAAUCUGUGGUGUCACUAGGUGGGGACCCCCUUGUAGAGCAACAGCCCCCUCAGAUCCCCCCCUCCCCUUUCCAGUGGGGAGCAGUCCCUCUGCAACUGGGAACCCCAGCCCAAAGCCCCGCAGAUCCACAGGCUUCCUGCCCCAUCGCAGGCUUGCCAGGAGGCAGGGCAGAAAGCCCCCACCGUGCCUCAGUUUCCCUAUCUGUAACAUGGAGCAAGAGCCCUGUGGCAUGAGGGCAGAGAUGGCUUAUUCUCUCAGUGCUUCAGUGCCAGGAGAGAGAUCGUGCCAAUUAUUAUUUAUAAAUCCAGCUGGCAUUUCAGACGGGGACACACUGCCCUCGGAGCUAGCAGGCUGCAUCCAGGCUACAUCUCAAGGUCACGGCGUCAAACACAGCCCUCGAAGGGGCUCAGCGGGGUUGUCAGUGGGUCUGGAGUCCUGCUGGCCUGAGCAUCUGCUUCUGGGGAGGGAAAAUCACCCGUUGCCCCAGCACGAGGUGGCAAAGAUCAUCAGGAGCAACGUUUCUGCCGGAGACGUCGCAGAGGCGAGCUUCCUCCUCAGCACCGGCAGCUCUUGCRGCCGCAAGCCCCCUGGCAAGCCGCUCCGGGUCCGAACCUUGCAGAUGAGGCACCCGAUAACAUCCCUGUCUCCAUCUUCUGGUGAGCAGUUUUGAACUCCUUUCUGUUUGCUUUUGCUCCCAGAAGACCGAUGUCCAAAGGUGUCCUGCUCAGCCUGAAAGGAAGCGGCAAAACCGUGGGGCUCAGCAUCUCGGAGGCAUUGUGUCCUUCAAAGGCGACGAACAAACAGCCGUGCUCCUUUCCAGCCCCGUCAGGGAUCCUGAGGAAAUGCUGCAGUCAACACAUUUGGGCGCCGCUUCCUCCUCGCACUGAGAGCCUGUUUAAACACUUACUAAUGUAAAGAAGCUUUUUGCUGCCGUAAGGCAAUGUCUGUAUUUCCAGCGGGCAUCCUGGUUAAACACUGUGGACUUCUUAGAGUCACAGCCAGUCUCCGAAUGAAAAGGUACCUUGUUUGAAAAACAGAGGGUCUUUUUCUUCCACGGCCACCUAAAAUAUUGCACGUCACUGUUGAUGUUUUCAUUUUGAGAAUGAUGAGGUAAAAACCACACUCUGCGUGGGCUAGGGGCGUUUUCUUUGGUUGAGAGUUUUAUUUUCUUAAUCGUCUGUCUCCUGCAUGAAGCUCGCAGGUGAAAAUGCUGAGGCUUUUAAAAAGAUGUGCCUCAGACCACGACAAAUAUUUUCCUGGAGAGCCAGCACACACACAAAGUGUUUGUGGAAGAGGAGUGCUGCUUUCCCUCCUGCCCUGGAGACAGCGAGUCCAUCGCAGACCCUUCCUGCCCCAGCUCCCCAUGGCCCCCAGGGCUCAGCCUCCACAAGUUGGCCCUGUGGCCUGAGCUGGAGCGAAGCUCACCCGUCAGCCUCAUCUCCCCAAAGGCAAGACCCGCGCUGGCCGUGGGUUAGCAAUGCCAUUGCAGGGAGCAGGAGGGUGUUGCAGGGCUUGCCUUGAAGCCCUGCUCCCAGAGGAAAGCCUUCAUGCCCUGGAUGGGUCUUCCUCAUCUGGCACUAGUCAGCAGGCAGCAAGGCCAGGCAUAACGCCGUCUCUUCUCUGAAUCGUGCCUUCGCAGGGCUGUGGUCGUCCCUGGUAGUGGUGACUGU
This 1734-nucleotide long non-coding RNA is filed under the name Apteryx owenii (little spotted kiwi). RNAcentral's name for it is "lncRNA (ENSAOWG00000018394.1)". The record is from RNAcentral. Lineage: Eukaryota; Metazoa; Chordata; Aves; Apterygiformes; Apterygidae.